RNAcentral lists this transfer RNA (69 nucleotides) under Bengalia sp. DZ-2020. RNAcentral describes it as "tRNA-Phe". Lineage: Eukaryota; Metazoa; Arthropoda; Insecta; Diptera; Calliphoridae. The record is from RNAcentral.
UAUUCAAAUAGCUUAUAUUUAGAGUAUGACACUGAAGAUGUUAUGGAGAUUAAUUUAAUCUUUGAAUAU